This 433-nucleotide ribosomal RNA is filed under the name uncultured bacterium. Its description in RNAcentral is "partial 16S ribosomal RNA". It matches the Rfam family "Bacterial small subunit ribosomal RNA", at positions 29 to 507 of the family's 1533-position model. The record is from RNAcentral.
AACGAACGCUGGCGGCAUGCCUAACACAUGCAAGUCGAACGAGACCUUCGGGUCUAGUGGCGCACGGGUGCGUAACGCGUGGGAAUCUGCCCUUCGGUUGGGAAUAACUGAGAGAAAUUUCAGCUAAUACCUUAUAAUGUCUUCGGACCAAAGAUUUAUCGCCGAGGGAUGAGCCCGCGUAGGAUUAGGUAGUUGGUGGGGUAAUGGCCUACCAAGCCGACGAUCCUUAGCUGGUCUGAGAGGAUGAUCAGCCACACUGGGACUGAGACACGGCCCAGACUCCUGCGGGAGGCAGCAGUGGGGAAUAUUGGACAAUGGGCGAAAGCCUGAUCCAGCAAUGCCGCGUGAGUGAUGAAGGCCUUAGGGUUGUAAAGCUCUUUUACCCGGGAUGAUAAUGACAGUACCGGGAGAAUAAGCUCCGGCUAACUCCGUG